This 144-nucleotide ribosomal RNA is filed under the name Cystotheca sp. SC-2017a. RNAcentral describes it as "partial 28S ribosomal RNA". It matches the Rfam family "Eukaryotic large subunit ribosomal RNA", at positions 1 to 276 of the family's 3401-position model. The record is from RNAcentral. Lineage: Eukaryota; Fungi; Ascomycota; Leotiomycetes; Helotiales; Erysiphaceae.
UUGACCUCGGAUCACGUAGGGAUACCCGCUGAACUUAAGCAUAUCAAUAAGCGGAGGAAAAGAAACCAACAGGGAUUACCUCAGUAACGGCGAGUGGCAGCCGUCGAGAGUUCAAAGACAAAAAAAGAAGAGUGGGGCGGCAUG